Molecule: regulatory RNA element, 70 nt
Organism: Sus scrofa (pig)
Lineage: Eukaryota; Metazoa; Chordata; Mammalia; Artiodactyla; Suidae
Rfam family: GAIT element
About the family: This family represents a cis-acting element in the 3'-UTR of the ceruloplasmin (Cp) gene called gamma interferon inhibitor of translation (GAIT). The GAIT element is involved in selective translational silencing of the Cp transcript. Ceruloplasmin (Cp) is a multifunctional, copper-containing glycoprotein produced by the liver and secreted into the plasma.
Source: Rfam
AUAUGUGAAAGUGUUGAAUAGAAUACUUUGGAAUGGCUAUAAGCAUUUUUUAAAAAGACUGAAAACAUAU